RNAcentral lists this ribosomal RNA (329 nucleotides) under uncultured eukaryote. RNAcentral's name for it is "partial 18S ribosomal RNA". It matches the Rfam family "Eukaryotic small subunit ribosomal RNA", at positions 1470 to 1796 of the family's 1831-position model. The record is from RNAcentral.
CCCUUAGAUGUUCUGGGCCGCACGCGCGCUACACUGACGCAUUCAACGAGUCUAAAACCUGGUCUGAUAGGGCUGGGUAAUCUUUUGAAUGUGCGUCGUGAUUGGGAUAAAUGAUUGUAAUUCUUCAUUUUCAACGAGGAAUGCCUAGUAAACGCAAGUCAUCAGCUUGCAUUGAUUACGUCCCUGCCCUUUGUACACACCGCCCGUCGCUCCUACCGAUUGAAUGAUCCGAUGAAUAUCAUGGAUUGAGGAUGCAAGUAGGUUAGCCUAUCUUCAUCUUCGAGAAGUGAAGUAAAUCUUAUCAUUUAGAGGAAGGAGAAGUCGUAACA